GCAGCCGCCAACCUCUAAGCACCGGUCGCCAUUUCCCUUCCCCUUCUUCAACUUGCAGCACCGCCACCACCCUCCUUCUCCAUUCUCCGAUACUGCCACUUCGUAGCUGCCAUGUACAUUGCUGCUGAGAGUCGCUGCAUUGCAUCCGCCGCUCUAUCGCCAUGCCGGUCAACGACGAAGCCAGGAGCUACCAUGUUGAAGACCGCCAUGCUGCUCCGGUGUGGUUGAAGACUAGGACCAUCUACUGACGUCGUGGUCGCUGUUGUGUUGGGCACAUCAUCUCCUUGCCGCAGACAACGUUCUCCCAUCUUUGUUUCAUUUAGGCCGCUGCUAGCGGUCGCUGCCGCCACCAAGCAAUCUUCCAACUGCUCCGGUCGUCAUCCAUCACCGCCUGCCAUUGCAAGGGAUUGGGUGCGUUCGGGUUGUUGUUUCAGCAUCGACUGAAGGUUGGUUUGUCUCUUCUGAUGGGUGCAAUCCAUGAAGAACCACCAUGGCAGCCGGCCAUGGUGGUUGUCCCCGUCAACUAUGCUGCUGCCAGACCUCCAUGGACCACCAAGGGGGUGGCUGGAGUUGCUUUCAAAAUUAUAGCGUGGAUCGGGAAUCUGGUAUCCAGCAGCUAUGGUUUUAUCAGCAGGACUCCAACAUGUGAGGUACUUAGUUUUCAAAAUAGGAACUCGGGAAGAUUGCAGUGCACACACCAUUUGUUCAGCCUUGGAUGUUUAUACUCUGAUAUACUUGAUAGUUGUGAUAAUAUUUUGAGAUACAUUGUUUAUGAUUUUUAUAUGAGGCUUAUUGACUAUAGUUUUUAUUAUUAAAUUAAACAAAAUUUUCAGACUGUGUUUUUGGGAUGUUACAAACUCUACUCUCAAAAAGUUCACAAAGAUGACAUACCCAGAUGUUGAAUCCAUUUCUUCUUCAAACAAUCGACUUAUCACCGAGGAGCUAGAUUACGACAUUCCCGUUAUAAAGAAUGAUUGUGAUCGUAUGUUUCUUGUAUUAACAAAUGAGCAAAGUAACAUUUUCAUUAACAUCAUGAGUGUUGUUAAAGAAAAUAAAGGAGGUGUCUUCUUCGUUAAUGGUUAUGGUUGAACGGGUAAAACUUUUUUUUUAUGGAAGACAAUAUCUGCAGCAAUUAGAUCUGAUAGUAAUAUUGUUUUAAAUGUUGCUUCAAGCGCUAUUGCUUCAUUAUUAUUGUCCGGUGGUAGAACAACACACUCUCGAUUUAUACUUCCAUUUGAACUUACAGAGGAUUCUUUUUGUAAAAUAAAUCCAGAUGGUAAGUUGGCUAGCUUAAUAAGAAAAACCUCUUUAAUAAUUUGGGAUGAAGCACCUAUGGUCCAUAAGCAUGCAUUUGAAGCUUUAGAUCAAACUUUGAAAGAUGUAUUAAGGUGUGGAAAUUCAAGCAUCUCAAAUAUUCCUUUUGGAGGUAAAGUUAUUGUCUUUGGAGGAGAUUUCAGAUAGAUUCUACUUGUUGUACCGGGUGGCAGUAGACAGAACAUUGUUAAUGCUUCUUUGAGUUCUUCAUAUUUAUGGCAACAUUGCAAAGUCCAUAGAUUAACAAAAAAAAACAUAAGGCUAACUGUUGGAAGGGAUCAAUCUGAUACAGAAAAAAUAAGAGAUUUUGCAAAUUGGCUACUGGAUAUAGGAGAAGGCAAACUCGGUGGUCCGAACGAAAGUGAAAUGAUUAUCGAUAUUCUGUAUGAUAUUCUCAUUAAUGAUCCAAGUGAUCCUAUAGGUUCGUUAAUUGAGUUUGUAUAUCCUUCAAUUUUGUAGAAGUAUAACAGUACAAAUUAUUUCCAUGAAAGAGCGAUACUUGCUCCAAAGAAUGAAGUUG
Molecule: long non-coding RNA, 1834 nt
Organism: Lactuca sativa (garden lettuce)
Lineage: Eukaryota; Viridiplantae; Streptophyta; Magnoliopsida; Asterales; Asteraceae
Source: RefSeq, a predicted model, not a curated record